AGAGUUUGAUUCUGGCUCAGGAUUAACGCUGGCGGCGUGCCUAACACAUGCAAGUCGAACGAAAUAUCUUCGGAUAUUAGUGGCGAACGGGUGAGUAAUGUACAGGUAAUGUACCUUCGUACUGCGAAUAACAAGCUGAAAAGUUUGCUAAUACGGAAUAGUUUCAUUAGGGGGCAUCCUUUGAUGAAUAAAGAUUUAUCGUGCGGAGAUCAGCCUGUAUCCUAUUAGUUAGUUGGUGGGGUAAUGGCCUACCAAGACGACGAUGGGUAACUGGUCUGAGAGGAUGAGCAGUCACAUUGGAACUGAGAUACGGUCCAAACUCCUACGGGAGGCAGCAGUGAGGAAUUUUGCGCAAUGGGGGAAACCCUGACGCCAGCAACGCCGCGUGAGUGAAGACGGCCUUCGGGUUGUAAAGCUCUGUCGUGUGUGACGAGUAGGGACGGUAACGCACAAGGAAGCCUCGGCUAACUACGUGCCAGCCGCGGC
RNAcentral lists this ribosomal RNA (486 nucleotides) under uncultured bacterium. RNAcentral describes it as "bacterial SSU rRNA". It matches the Rfam family "Bacterial small subunit ribosomal RNA", at positions 8 to 518 of the family's 1533-position model. The record is from RNAcentral.